CCAGCAGCCGCGGUAAUACGUAGGGUGCAAGCGUUGUCCGGAUUUAUUGGGCGUAAAGAGCUCGUAGGCGGUUAGUCACGUCGGAUGUGAAAACCCAGUGCUUAACACUGGGCCUGCAUUCGAUACGGGCUGACUAGAGUGUUGUAGGGGAGACUGGAACUCCUGGUGUAGCGGUGAAAUGCGCAGAUAUCAAGAAGAACACCGGUGGCGAAGGCGGGUCUCUGGGCAACUACUGACGCUGAGGAGCGAAAGCGUGGGGAGCAAACAGGAUUAGAUACCCUGGUAGUCCACGCCGUAAACGGUGGGCGCUAGGUGUGGGGAACAUUCCACGUUCUCCGUGCCGCAGCUAACGCAUUAAGUGCCCCCCCUUGGGGAUUACGCCCGCAGGCUAAACUCAAAGAAUUGACGGGCACCGCAUCAAGCGGCGGAGCAUGCGAGCUGAUUCAAUGCACGCGAAGAACCUUACCUAGCCUUGACAGUUCGGGAAAUUUGCCAGAGAUGCCAGGUCCCGUAAGGGCCCCAAAACAGGUGGUGCAUGGCUGUCGUCAGCUCGUGUCGUGAGAUGUUGGAUUAAGUCCCGCAACGAGCGCAACCCCUCGUCGUAUGUUGCCAGCGGAUAAUGCCGGGGACUCAUACGAGACUGCCGGGGUCAACUCGGAGGAAGGUGGGGGCGACGUCAAGUCAUCAUGCCCCUUAUGUAUAGGGCUGCACGCAUGCUACUAUGGCCGGUACAGAGGGCUGCGAUACCGCGAGGUGGAGCGAAUCCCAAAAAGCCGGUCUCAGUUCGGAUUGGGGUUUGCAACUCGACCCCAUGAAGUCGGAGUCGCUAGUAAUCGCAGAUCAGCAACGCUGCGGUGAAUACGUUCCCGGGCCUUGUACACACCGCCCGUCACGUCACGAAAGUCGGCAACACCCGAAGCCGGUGGCCUAACCCUUGUGGAAGGAGCCGUUGAAGGUGGGGCUGGUGAUUGGGACGAAGUCGUAACAAGGUAGCCGAU
This 998-nucleotide ribosomal RNA is filed under the name uncultured Actinomycetes bacterium. RNAcentral's name for it is "bacterial SSU rRNA". It matches the Rfam family "Bacterial small subunit ribosomal RNA", at positions 508 to 1504 of the family's 1533-position model. Lineage: Bacteria; Bacillati; Actinomycetota; Actinomycetes. The record is from RNAcentral.